GACGAACGCUGGCGGCGUGCUUAACACAUGCAAGUCGAACGGAAAGGCCCUGCUUUUGUGGGGUGCUCGAGUGGCGAACGGGUGAGUAACACGUGAGUAACCUGCCCUUGACUUUGGGAUAACUUCAGGAAACUGGGGCUAAUACCGGAUAGGAGCUCCUGCUGCAUGGUGGGGGUUGGAAAGUUUCGGCGGUUGGGGAUGGACUCGGGGCUUAUCAGCUUGUUGGUGGGGUAGUGGCUUACCAAGGCUUUGACGGGUAGCCGGCCUGAGAGGGUGACCGGCCACAUUGGGACUGAGAUACGGCCCAGACUCCUACGGGAGGCAGCAGUGGGGAAUAUUGCACAAUGGGCGGAAGCCUGAGGCAGCAACGCCGCGUGCGGGAUGACGGCCUUCGGGUUGUAAACCGCUUUCGCCUGUGACGAAGCGUGAGUGACGGUAAUGGGUAAAGAAGCACCGGCUAACUACGUG
Molecule: ribosomal RNA, 468 nt
Filed under: uncultured bacterium
Lineage: Bacteria
Description: partial 16S ribosomal RNA
Rfam family: Bacterial small subunit ribosomal RNA
Source: RNAcentral